UACGUAGGGGGCUAGCGUUGUUCGGAAUUACUGGGCGUAAAGGGCGCGUAGGCGGCCUGCUAAGUCGGAUGUGAAAUCCCUCGGCUCAACCGAGGAACUGCAUCCGAUACUGGCGGGCUGGAAUCCGGGAGAGGGAUGUGGAAUUCCAGGUGUAGCGGUGAAAUGCGUAGAUAUCUGGAGGAACACCGGUGGCGAAGGCGGCAUCCUGGACCGGUAUUGACGCUGAGGCGCGAAAGCUAGGGGAGCAAACGGG
RNAcentral lists this ribosomal RNA (253 nucleotides) under uncultured bacterium. RNAcentral describes it as "partial 16S ribosomal RNA". It matches the Rfam family "Bacterial small subunit ribosomal RNA", at positions 524 to 776 of the family's 1533-position model. The record is from RNAcentral.